UUCCUUUUAGGACUCAUAUGCAUGAUGACGAGGUGUUCAUACGUUUGUGUGACAUGUGCCUCCCAUAGAUAUUAUUACAAUGUCAGCAUAUUACUAUUCUGAUG
Molecule: small nucleolar RNA, 104 nt
Organism: Sorex fumeus (smoky shrew)
Lineage: Eukaryota; Metazoa; Chordata; Mammalia; Eulipotyphla; Soricidae
Product: small nucleolar RNA U13
Exons: 1
Source: RefSeq, a predicted model, not a curated record